RNAcentral lists this ribosomal RNA (448 nucleotides) under uncultured bacterium. RNAcentral's name for it is "bacterial SSU rRNA". It matches the Rfam family "Bacterial small subunit ribosomal RNA", at positions 328 to 793 of the family's 1533-position model. The record is from RNAcentral.
AAGCCAGACUCCUACGGGAGGCAGCAGUGGGGGAUAUUGCACAAUGGGGGAAACCCUGAUGCAGCGACGCCGCGUGGGUGAAGAAGCGCCUCGGCGCGUAAAGCCCUGUCAGCAGGGAAGAAAAUGACGGUACCUGAAGAAGAAGCCCCGGCUAACUACGUGCCAGCAGCCGCGGUAAUACGUAGGGGGCAAGCGUUAUCCGGAUUUACUGGGUGUAAAGGGGGCGCAGACGGCGAUGCAAGCCAGGAGUGAAAGCCCGGGGCCCAACCCCGGGACUGCUCUUGGAACUGCGUGGCUGGAGUGCAGGAGGGGCAGGCGGAAUUCCUGGUGUAGCGGUGAAAUGCGUAGAUAUCAGGAGGAACACCGGUGGCGAAGGCGGCCUGCUGGACUGCAACUGACGUUGAGGCCCGAAAGCGUGGGGAGCAACCAGGAUUAGAUACCCGAGUAC